ACUGUCGCGAAGCUCCCGCCCAAGCCGACCACGUGCCGCGAGCCCGGCGGGGAGAGCCCACUCCCGCGCCCCUUCCGGGCCCACUACCCCGCCGGGCUGUGGCCCAUCGCCCCAGUGCCUGGUAGCCUAGUUUUCUCGUUUGUCGUUUGUUCACUUAUUUAUUAUUAUUAUUAUUAUUUUGACUCGUAAUGGGUAUGAGGUGUAAGGGGGCCUAUUACGGAUGUUAAGGGGAGAGGGCACCGCUCGGGUUUUAAUAAGCAUCUGUGGAGCUCAUUUAUAAGAUUGGCAUCCUCUGCUUCUGCAGAAAACAUGGCUACCAACAGCUUCUGUAUCCACCUGCGGAGGAGACUGACUGCUCUGUUAUUCCCCCAGCAUCUGUGAAGAGGCUCUGACUGGCUAAAGUGAAGGAGUCUGUAGCUUUAGGGGAAGACAGAGCCACAAGAUGGAAGGAGCUUGGAUGUCUGAACUAUUCCAUGGAGAAAAGCUGCAGCCAACGAAGAACACCUGCAAUGGACUCUUAACCUGGGGGUGACGACAACCACUGAAAUAUGCUGCAUCUUAGUCCAGGGAUUUUUAAAGUGUGGUUCCUGGAAGAGCUGGAUCAGAGUCAUCUGUGUUGAUGGUUUAACAUAAAGAUUUUCGAGCCCCAAGACUCAAGUAGGACAAGGAAUUUGAAUUUUUAAGCAGCUCACCUGACUUGUCUGUCCUCUAAUGUCUGAAGACAUCUGACCUCUGCUCUUUCAGUAAAAGCAACAAUGGUUUUAUGAGCAUUGUCGUCACAUCUCUCCACUCAAGGGAUCCUUCUCAUUUCUCCCAGCUGAGGUCACCCACAGCUGCUGCUUCUAACUGCUGGCUUCCAGCCUGCUGUCUGCCAGCUGGCUCUACCCUCUCCUAUAACACGGCAGAGAGUAGCUGUGGUCUCCUGCGUGCUCACCCUCUGCUCCCUUGGUCCUGCUCCAUGCUUUGGUCCUGCACUUAAAUUUUACAAGCAUACUCUCUUUCUCUUAAGAGAAACCUGAUACAAUUUCAAGGUGGAAUACUUGCAGUGAUGGUCAAGAUGAAAGAAUGAUUUUCAAUGCCAUUUAGAGGAAAUCUUGGGAUCAACUUGGGAAAAGACGGAGGCUCCUGGCUCUGAUCUUUGGGGACUUCAGAUUUUCUGGAUCAAGGGCCAGAAGGACUCCACCAAAUUUCAACACUAAGAUAACCACCUGUUACCAGUCAUCAACAAAUAGUUACUGAGGACCUGCCAUGCAUCAGGAACUGCAGAUGCAGGAAAUAAUAUGGACAACAGACACAGAUUCUGCCUCAUUACUUUUGUAGUUUUCUAGUGUUCAACUCUUGAUAUACAUAUAAGAUCCGCAUCAUCUGUUAAACAUAGAGCUUAGAUCCUCUCAUGAGAGUUCAGGCGCAUUCAGGGUGAUGUGGCUGUAGCCUCUGAUUCUCUUAGAUUGGCAGUGAAGGAAGAAUCGCUACAAAGGCAGGAUCCGCUGCACUUCAGAAUCUCACCUCCUGGCCCUAAAAUCCACCUUGAAGAGUCCUUGCCUCCUGCCCAAGUAGCCACAAACUACUCUCCAAAAAGCACAACUCUUCCUUCAACAAGACUCUUUUCUUCAAAAACCACAUGCAAAGUGAAGUCUUCACUGG
Molecule: long non-coding RNA, 1644 nt
Filed under: Homo sapiens (human)
Lineage: Eukaryota; Metazoa; Chordata; Mammalia; Primates; Hominidae
Description: non-protein coding HDAC2-AS2:88
Source: RNAcentral